RNAcentral lists this ribosomal RNA (852 nucleotides) under Halomonas sp. K0-4-006. RNAcentral's name for it is "bacterial SSU rRNA". It matches the Rfam family "Bacterial small subunit ribosomal RNA", at positions 49 to 898 of the family's 1533-position model. The record is from RNAcentral. Lineage: Bacteria; Pseudomonadati; Pseudomonadota; Gammaproteobacteria; Oceanospirillales; Halomonadaceae.
UAACACAUGCAAGUCGAGCGGUAACAGGUCUAGCUUGCUAGACGCUGACGAGCGGCGGACGGGUGAGUAAUGCAUAGGAAUCUGCCCGAUAGUGGGGGAUAACCUGGGGAAACCCAGGCUAAUACCGCAUACGUCCUACGGGAGAAAGGGGGCUCCGGCUCCCGCUAUCGGAUGAGCCUAUGUCGGAUUAGCUAGUUGGUGGGGUAAUGGCCCACCAAGGCGACGAUCCGUAGCUGGUCUGAGAGGAUGAUCAGCCACAUCGGGACUGAGACACGGCCCGAACUCCUACGGGAGGCAGCAGUGGGGAAUAUUGGACAAUGGGGGCAACCCUGAUCCAGCCAUGCCGCGUGUGUGAAGAAGGCCUUAGGGUUGUAAAGCACUUUCAGCGAGGAAGAACGCCUGGCGGUUAAUACCCGCCAGGAAAGACAUCACUCGCAGAAGAAGCACCGGCUAACUCCGUGCCAGCAGCCGCGGUAAUACGGAGGGUGCAAGCGUUAAUCGGAAUUACUGGGCGUAAAGCGCGCGUAGGUGGCUUGAUAAGCCGGUUGUGAAAGCCCCGGGCUCAACCUGGGAACGGCAUCCGGAACUGUCAAGCUAGAGUACAGGAGAGGAAGGUAGAAUUCCCGGUGUAGCGGUGAAAUGCGUAGAGAUCGGGAGGAAUACCAGUGGCGAAGGCGGCCUUCUGGACUGAUACUGACACUGAGGUGCGAAAGCGUGGGUAGCAAACAGGAUUAGAUACCCUGGUAGUCCACGCCGUAAACGAUGUCGACCAGCCGUUGGGUGCCUAGCGCACUUUGUGGCGAAGUUAACGCGAUAAGUCGACCGCCUGGGGAGUACGGCCGCAAGGUUAAA